UAGGUUGUACGAGAAAAAUAUGUUUGUUUGUCUGUAUUUGUAAUUACUCUAUUCUCCCACAGCUUCUGUUUUUCAACUCCUCUGCUGUCUCCUGUGUCCCCUACAGUCACUUGUUUGGGAAGUUUAGAAUGUGGCCCAGACGUGUCAGAAGAAUCCUGCCCCCAGCUAUGGAGAAAACUGCUGAGCAGAAACAUACCCAAGACUAGAUCACUGGUGCUGAAUCAAAACAGGGAUUUGUAUUGGGUGCAUUCGCGUCCCAUACGGACCAGAGCUGAACCGUGAAGAACGGAGCCCAG
Molecule: long non-coding RNA, 296 nt
Organism: Anguilla anguilla (European eel)
Lineage: Eukaryota; Metazoa; Chordata; Actinopteri; Anguilliformes; Anguillidae
Exons: 3
Source: RefSeq, a predicted model, not a curated record